RNAcentral lists this ribosomal RNA (497 nucleotides) under uncultured bacterium. RNAcentral's name for it is "partial 16S ribosomal RNA". It matches the Rfam family "Bacterial small subunit ribosomal RNA", at positions 28 to 507 of the family's 1533-position model. The record is from RNAcentral.
GAUGAACGCUGGCGGCGUGCCUAAUACAUGCAAGUCGAGCGAACAGACGAGGAGCUUGCUCCUCUGACGUUAGCGGCGGACGGGUGAGUAACACGUGGAUAACCUACCUAUAAGACUGGGAUAACUUCGGGAAACCGGAGCUAAUACCGGAUAAUAUAUUGAACCGCAUGGUUCAAUAGUGAAAGACGGUUUUGCUGUCACUUAUAGAUGGAUCCGCGCCGCAUUAGCUAGUUGGUAAGGUAACGGCUUACCAAGGCAACGAUGCGUAGCCGACCUGAGAGGGUGAUCGGCCACACUGGAGCUGAGACGCGGUCCAGACUCCUACGGGAGGCAGCAGUAGGGAAUCUUCCGCAAUGGGCGAAAGCCUGACGGAGCAACGCCGCGUGAGUUAUGAAGGUCUUCGGAUCGUAAAACUCUGUUAUUAGGGAAGAACAAAUGUGUAAGUAACUAUGCACGUCUUGACGGUACCUAAUCAGAAAGCCACGGCUAACUACGUG